Long non-coding RNA from Lagenorhynchus albirostris (white-beaked dolphin), 576 nucleotides. RefSeq lists it as uncharacterized. The record is from RefSeq and is a predicted model, not a curated record. Lineage: Eukaryota; Metazoa; Chordata; Mammalia; Artiodactyla; Delphinidae. The transcript has 4 exons.
UGAAGACCAGAGAAGCAGAGAAAGCGAGCUUUCAGAAAGAAAUUACUGAAGCAGAUGUACAAGGAGAAGUGAAGAUGGAAAUCCUGAUAGACUUCAGCUUCCUGUUCCAGUCCCUACCUGAGACCUGGGGUUGAGUUUCAUGAGAUACACUUUCAUGCACAGUCCUUAAUUCUAGAUGUACAUAACAGACCAAACCUGAUGGAGUAAGAGAAAAGUAGGUCAUCAGAUGCGUAUGAGCUUUGGGAAACACCACAAUUAAGGGAUGAUGUUCUGACUUAUCAGCCCAGCACAUCUGGCCUUUCUCCACCUGGCCCAUCUCACCAGGCUCAUCUCCUGCCACCCUUCAUUUUAACUUGAUCUUUUAGCCAAUCUGUACUGCUAUGGUUCCCCUACAAAAUCAGGUUAUUGAUGAGAACAAAAUUAAACUGCUUAUCAACUUUGACUUUUGCCACAACUCAAGAAGAUGGAAGAUCAUAAUCACUAGAAAAACAUCCCUAUUUGUGGGCCUGAAAUGUAGGCAAGAAAACCUGUUUUUUCGUACCCACAAGGCAUCACAAUCCAACUAAUAAAAACUGC